Molecule: RNA transcript, 3393 nt
Organism: Myxocyprinus asiaticus (Chinese sucker)
Lineage: Eukaryota; Metazoa; Chordata; Actinopteri; Cypriniformes; Catostomidae
Exons: 2
Source: RefSeq, a predicted model, not a curated record
UAAUUGAAUUCAGGUGUUCCAAUCACUUCCAUGGCCACAGGUGUAUAAAAUUAAGCACCUAGGCAUGCAGACUGCUUCUACAAACAUUUGUGAAAGAAUGGGCCGCUCUCAGGAGCUCAGUGAAUUCCAGCGUGGUACUGUGAUAGGAUGCCACCUGUGCAACAAGUCCAGUUGUGAAAUUUCCUCGCUACUAAAUAUUCCACAGUCAACUGUCAGUGGUAUUAUAACAAAGUGGAAGCGAUUGGGAAUGACAGCAACUCAGCCACGAAGUGGUAGGCCACGUAAAAUGACAGAGUGGGGUCAGCGGAUGCUGAGGCGCAUAGUGUGCAGAGGUCGCCAACUUUCUGCAGAGUCAAUCGCUACAGACCUCCAAAGUUCAUGUGGCCUUCAGAUUAGCUCAAGAACAGUGCGUAGAGAGCUUCAUGGAAUGGGUUUCCAUGGCCGAGCAGCUGCAUCCAAGCCAUACAUCACCAAGUGCAAUGCAAAGCGUCGGAUGCAGUGGUGUAAAGCACGCCGCCACUGGACUCUAGAGCAGUGGAGAUGCGUUCUCUGGAGUGACGAAUCACGCUUCUCCAUCUGGCAAUCUGAUGGACGAGUCUGGGUUUGGCGGUUGCCAGGAGAACGGUACUUAUCUGACUGCAUUGUGCCAACUGUGAAGUUUGGUGGAGGGGGGAUUAUGGUGUGGGGUUCUUUUUCAGGAGCUGGGCUUGGCCCCUUAGUUCCAGUGAAAGGAACUCUGAAUGCUUCAGCAUACCAAGAGAUUUUGGACAUUUCCAUGCUCCCAACUUUGUGGGAACAGUUUGGGGAUGGCCCCUUCCUGUUCCAACAUGACUGCACACCAGUGCACAAAGCAAGGUCCAUAAAGACAUGGAUGAGCGAGUUUGGUGUGGAAGAACUUGACUGGCCUGCACAGAGUCCUGACCUCAACCCGAUAGAGCACCUUUGGGAUGAAUUAGAGCGAAGACUGCGAGCCAGGCCUUCUCGUCCAACAUCAGUGUCUGACCUCACAAAUGCGCUUCUGGAAGAAUGGUCAAAAAUUCCCAUAAACACACUCCUAAACCUUGUGGAAAGCCUUCCCAGAAGAGUUGAAGCUGUUAUAGCUGCGAAGGGUGGGCCGACGUCAUAUUAAACCCUAUGGAUUAAGAAUGGGAUGUCACUUAAGUUCAUAUGCGUCUAAAGGCAGGUGAGCGAAUACUUUUGGCAAUAUAGUGUAUAUUAAACAGUAGCCCAGAGUGUGAAACUAGCACCCACCACCCGCAAAAUGCGACAAGGCCAAAUGUAUUUCAUGCGUGGGUAAUUAUGCUCAUCUACCCGCAACAGGCGGGUGACCUGUAAGACGUCUCGGAGUGACACAUGACAAGAAAUGCUGUUAGUCACAAAGACACGUGCUUGAAGAAACACACUGUUAUAUUUUACGAACAGACAAAUGAAAAGCCGUUAAUACUCAUGUCUGAUUCACUGUAUAUUCAAAAAAAUUAUGGAAUCACCUUGUAAUUUACAUUUCUAAAUCAAAUACCGGCACAAGUCUAAAAACGCUAAUUAGUCUGCAGUUAAAAGAGAGUGCUUGCAAGACCUUAACGAGCUGUUGGGUUUGGCUAAUUGAAAGGAAACAUGGCCCCAACAAGACAGUUGUCAAUUGAAACAAUGGAAAGGAUUAUAAAACUCCUUCAAGUAGGAAAUCCAACAGAGAGUGUGGCAAAAGAAGUUGGUUGUUCUCAGUCAGCUUUGUCUAAAAUUUGGUGCAAGUAUAAACAAAAUGGCAAGAUUAUAAAAGGAAAACAUACGGGUAGACCAAGGAAGACGUCAAAGCGUCAGGAUAGAAAACUCAAAGCAAUAUGCCUUGAAAAUAGAAAAUGCACAACAAAACAAAUGAAAAACAAAUGGGCAGAAACAGGAGUCAAUGUUUGUGACAGAACUGUAAGAAAUCGGCUGAAUGAAAUGGGAUUUACAUAUAGAAAAGCCAAACGUAUCAUGGAGUGUGGAUGAUUGGAUGAAAGUGAUAUUCAGUGAUGAAUCACGAAUCUGCAUUAGCCAAGGCGAUGAUGCUGGAACUUUUGUCUGGUGCCGUUCUAAUGAAACAUAUAAAGAUGACUGCCUGAAGAAAACAAUCAAAUUUCCCCAGUCAUUUAUGAUUUGGGGUUGCAUGUCAGGUAAAGGACCAGGGGAGAUGGCAAUCAUUACCUCAACAGUCAAUGCACAGGUGUACAUUGAAAUUUUGGACACUUUUCUCAUUCCAUCGGUAGAAAAUAGGUUUGGUGAUGAAGUCAUUUUUCAGGAUGAUAAUGCAUCUUACCACAGAGCAAAGAGUGUUAAAGCUUUUCUCCAGGAAAGGCAUAUCAACUCAAUGACAGGGCCAGCAAACAGUCCGGAUCUCAGUUGGUCCAUGACAAGGCUCCAUCCUGCAAAACUGAUCUGUCAACCGCUAUUUGAGAAAGUUGGAACCAGCUUGAUGGAGUAUAUUGUUUUUCAUUUGUGAAGUCCAUGCCUCAAAGAAUUCAGGCCGUCAUAAAAGCCAGAGCAGGAGCAACAAAGUACUAAUUGUGAUUUUUUUAGUUGAUGAUUCCAUAAUUUUUUUCAUCGAGUGAUUCCAUAAUUUUUUCCUCUACUUGAUCUGGAAAAAAAUAUGCCAUUGAUUGUUUUGUGUCAUAUCUGUGAUUUGUUUAUUUGCUACAAAGUAAAAAUCUGGGUGAACAUCCUCUAAGUGUGGUGAUUCCAUAAUGUUUUGCCAGGGGUUGCAUGUUUAAUUUUACACUUAAACUAACUUAUUCAAUGUAGAAAAUACUUAAUAUUUUCUGCUAUAUUUACUUAACCACAAAAUCAUUUGUUUUAGUGCACACUAUUCUCAUGUUUACUUGAAAAAUGUGUAGGUCUUGUGGCUAUACCUUUGAAACGGUGUGUAUUUGAAUGUUUAUCCUGGUGCAUUGUCUUGCCCCAAAGACUUUCAUUGAAAGUGCAUUACUGUAAACAUGAAAUUUUCUUGUUAAUAGACAGCAUGUCACGGAUGCUUUUUAUAGAGCUUAAAUACAUGAUUGAGCCCAGAAUAUUCCUUUAUCUGUAAUUGCAUCACACAUGCAUUGUGUCAAACAGUUUUGGUUAAUGAUUAGCAGUGGGUAGUGAUCUAUGAGUUCUCCAGUUCACACUGCCUUGCAUAGGAAACACGUCAACAAUGCAGACCAUAUAGAAGCGUCAUUGAGUCUAACUGCUUUCUUUCUCCACCCUCUUUCCCAUCCAUUUUUUCAUUCAGUUUGUUGAAAUGUUGCUGAAGUUUGUUGCUGAAGGAGCUGCCAGUGGACUGAAUGUCAUCGCUGUCUAUGUAUCUGAGAUUCUCCGAGCUACAGGAGUGAAUGAGACAAUAUCGAUCCCUCAUUUCACCGCUGAGGGCGUGUCUGCUGU